GGGGAAUAUUGCACAAUGGAGGAAACUCUGAUGCAGCGAUGCCGCGUGAGGGAAGAAGGUUUUAGGAUUGUAAACCUCUGUCUUCAGGGACGAAAAAAGGACGGUACCUGAGGAGGAAGCUCCGGCUAACUACGUGCCAGCAGCCGCGGUAAUACGUAGGGAGCGAGCGUUGUCCGGAAUUACUGGGUGUAAAGGGAGCGUAGGCGGGAUCGCAAGUCAGAUGUGAAAACUAUGGGCUUAACCCAUAAACUGCAUUUGAAACUGUGGUUCUUGAGUGAAGUAGAGGUAAGCGGAAUUCCUAGUGUAGCGGUGAAAUGCGUAGAUAUUAGGAGGAACAUCAGUGGCGAAGGCGGCUUACUGGGCUUUAACUGACGCUGAGGCUCGAAAGCGUGGGGAGCAAACAGGAUUAGAUACCCUGGUAGUCCACGCCGUAAACGAUGAUUACUAGGUGUGGGGGGACUGACCCCUUCCGUGCCGCAGCAAACGCAAUAAGUAAUCCACCUGGGGAGUACGACCGCAAGGUUGAAACUCAAAGGAAUUGACGGGGGCCCGCACAAGCAGUGGAGUAUGUGGUUUAAUUCGAAGCAACGCGAAGAACCUUACCAGGUCUUGACAUCCGAUGCAUAGUGCAGAGAUGCAUGAAGUCCUUCGGGACAUCGAGACAGGUGGUGCAUGGUUGUCGUCAGCUCGUGUCGUGAGAUGUUGGGUUAAGUCCCGCAACGAGCGCAACCCUUAUUGCCAGUUACUACGAAAGAGGACUCUGGCGAGACUGCCGUUGACAAAACGGAGGAAGGUGGGGAUGACGUCAAAUCAUCAUGCCCUUUAUGACCUGGGCUACACACGUACUACAAUGGCGUUUAACAAAGAGAAGCAAGACCGCGAGGUGGAGCAAAACUCAAAAACAACGUCUCAGUUCAGAUUGCAGGCUGCAACUCGCCUGCAUGAAGUCGGAAUUGCUAGUAAUCGCGGAUCAGCAUGCCGCGGUGAAUACGUUCCCG
Molecule: ribosomal RNA, 998 nt
Filed under: uncultured organism
Description: bacterial SSU rRNA
Rfam family: Bacterial small subunit ribosomal RNA
Source: RNAcentral